This 108-nucleotide small nuclear RNA is filed under the name Macaca nemestrina (pig-tailed macaque). The record is from RNAcentral. Lineage: Eukaryota; Metazoa; Chordata; Mammalia; Primates; Cercopithecidae.
UUAAAUACUUCACUUAAAAAUAAUUAAUACUUGGAAUGAUACAGAGAAGAUUAGCAUGGCCACUGUGUAAGGAUGACAGGAAAAAAAAAUACUGUGUUUUAAAUGUUU